RNAcentral lists this ribosomal RNA (571 nucleotides) under Micromonospora sp. R6mixte.1. RNAcentral's name for it is "bacterial SSU rRNA". It matches the Rfam family "Bacterial small subunit ribosomal RNA", at positions 335 to 916 of the family's 1533-position model. The record is from RNAcentral. Lineage: Bacteria; Bacillati; Actinomycetota; Actinomycetes; Micromonosporales; Micromonosporaceae.
ACUCCUACGGGAGGCAGCAGUGGGGAAUAUUGCACAAUGGGCGGAAGCCUGAUGCAGCGACGCCGCGUGAGGGAUGACGGCCUUCGGGUUGUAAACCUCUUUCAGCAGGGACGAAGCGUAAGUGACGGUACCUGCAGAAGAAGCACCGGCCAACUACGUGCCAGCAGCCGCGGUAAGACGUAGGGUGCGAGCGUUGUCCGGAUUUAUUGGGCGUAAAGAGCUCGUAGGCGGCUUGUCGCGUCGACUGUGAAAACCCGCAGCUCAACUGCGGGCCUGCAGUCGAUACGGGCAGGCUAGAGUUCGGUAGGGGAGACUGGAAUUCCUGGUGUAGCGGUGAAAUGCGCAGAUAUCAGGAGGAACACCGGUGGCGAAGGCGGGUCUCUGGGCCGAAACUGACGCUGAGGAGCGAAAGCGUGGGGAGCGAACAGGAUUAGAUACCCUGGUAGUCCACGCUGUAAACGUUGGGCGCUAGGUGUGGGGGGCCUCUCCGGUUCCCUGUGCCGCAGCUAACGCAUUAAGCGCCCCGCCUGGGGAGUACGGCCGCAAGGCUAAAACUCAAAGGAAUUGACGG